UCUUGAGAGCGGCGGACGGGUGAGUAAUGCCUAGGAAUCUGCCUGGUAGUGGGGGAUAACGUUCGGAAACGAACGCUAAUACCGCAUACGUCCUACGGGAGAAAGCAGGGGACCUUCGGGCCUUGCGCUAUCAGAUGAGCCUAGGUCGGAUUAGCUAGUUGGUGAGGUAAUGGCUCACCAAGGCGACGAUCCGUAACUGGUCUGAGAGGAUGAUCAGUCACACUGGAACUGAGACACGGUCCAGACUCCUACGGGAGGCAGCAGUGGGGAAUAUUGGACAAUGGGCGAAAGCCUGAUCCAGCCAUGCCGCGUGUGUGAAGAAGGUCUUCGGAUUGUAAAGCACUUUAAGUUGGGAGGAAGGGCACUUACCUAAUACGUGAUUGUUUUGACGUUACCGACAGAAUAAGCACCGGCUAACUCUGUGCCAGCAGCCGCGGUAAUACAGAGGGUGCAAGCGUUAAUCGGAAUUACUGGGCGUAAAGCGCGCGUAGGUGGUUUGUUAAGUUGGAUGUGAAAUCCCCGGGCUCAACCUGGGAACUGCAUUCAAAACUGACUGACUAGAGUAUGGUAGAGGGGUGGUGGAAUUUCCUGUGUAGCGGUGAAAUGCGUAGAUAUAGGAAGGAACACCAGUGGCGAAGGCGACCACCUGGACUAAUACUGACACUGAGGUGCGAAAG
RNAcentral lists this ribosomal RNA (677 nucleotides) under soil bacterium Vanc-S3N-M1LLLSSL-2. RNAcentral describes it as "bacterial SSU rRNA". It matches the Rfam family "Bacterial small subunit ribosomal RNA", at positions 87 to 759 of the family's 1533-position model. The record is from RNAcentral.